UUAAGUGCCCCGCCUGGGGAGUACGAUCGCAAGAUUAAAACUCAAAGGAAUUGACGGGCCCCGCACAAGCAGCGGAGCAUGCGGCUUAAUUCGACGCAACGCGAAGAACCUUACCAAGGCUUGACAUAUACAGGAAUAUGGCAGAGAUGUCAUAGCCGCAAGGUCUGUAUACAGGUGGUGCAUGGUUGUCGUCAGCUCGUGUCGUGAGAUGUUGGGUUAAGUCCCGCAACGAGCGCAACCCUCGUUCUGUGUUGCCAGCAUUUAGUUGGGGACUCACAGGAGACUGCCGGGGUUAACUCGGAGGAAGGUGGGGAUGACGUCAAAUCAUCAUGCCCCUUAUGUCUUGGGCUGCACGCAUGCUACAAUGGCUGGUACAAACGGCUGCAAUACCGCAAGGUGGAGCGAAUCCGAUAAAGCCAGUCUCAGUUCGGAUUGGGGUCUGCAACUCGACCCCAUGAAGUCGGAGUUGCUAGUAAUCGUAGAUCAGCAACGCUACGGUGAAUACGUUCCCGGGGCUUGUACACACCGCCCGUCACGUCACGAAAGUCGGUAACACCCGAAGUCAGU
RNAcentral lists this ribosomal RNA (567 nucleotides) under uncultured Actinomycetes bacterium. RNAcentral's name for it is "bacterial SSU rRNA". It matches the Rfam family "Bacterial small subunit ribosomal RNA", at positions 860 to 1431 of the family's 1533-position model. The record is from RNAcentral. Lineage: Bacteria; Bacillati; Actinomycetota; Actinomycetes.